AGGGUUUGAUCAUGGCUCAAACGAACGCUGGCGGCGUGGAUAAGACAUGCAAGUCGAACGGGACAGUCUGGUAGCAAUAUUAGAUUGUUCAGUGGCGAACGGGUGCGUAACACGUGGGUCACAUUCCGGGAAGUGAGAAAUAGCCCAGGGAAACUUGGAUUAAUAUCUCAUGUGGUCGCAAGACUAAAGGCGCAAGCCGCUUCCUGAUUGGCCCGCGGCCUAUCAGCUUGUUGGUGAGGUAAUGGCUCACCAAGGCAGCGACGGGUAGCUGGUCUGAGAGGACGACCAGCCACACUGGAACUGAGACACGGUCCAGACACCUACGGGUGGCAGCAGUCGAGAAUCUUUCACAAUGGGGGAAACCCUGAUGGAGUGACGCCGCGUGGAGGUUAAGGUCUUCGGAUUGUAAACUCCUGUCAUGCGAGAACAAAGCCCUCACGGGUGUGAUAGUAUCGCAAGAGGAAGAGACGGCUAACUCUGUGCCAGCAGCCGCGGUAAUACAGAGGUCUCAAGCGUUGUUCGGAAUUACUGGGCGUAAAGGGUGCGCAGGCCGCGCGGGCAGUCAAAUGUGUAAUUCAGGGGCUCAACCCCUGCACUGCGCUUGAUACUUCCGCGCUCGAACCUUGGAAAGGAGUCUGGAAUUCUCGGUGUAGCAGUGAAAUGCGUGGAUAUCGAGAAGAACACUUAGGGCGAAAGCAAGACUCUGGACAAGUGUUGACGCUCAUGCACGAAGGCUAGGGUAGCGAACGGGAUUAGAUACCCCGGUAGUCCUAGCUGUAAACGGUGCACGUUUGGUGUGGGAGGCAACCCCUUCCGUGCCGAAGCUAACGCGAUAAACGU
This 840-nucleotide ribosomal RNA is filed under the name uncultured Verrucomicrobiae bacterium. Its description in RNAcentral is "bacterial SSU rRNA". It matches the Rfam family "Bacterial small subunit ribosomal RNA", at positions 8 to 867 of the family's 1533-position model. Lineage: Bacteria; Pseudomonadati; Verrucomicrobiota; Verrucomicrobiia. The record is from RNAcentral.